GCCAUUUUUAGUCUUUACUUCAUUUCCGUUAUAUGACAAUGAGCAAAGAGAGGCAACUGUAAUAACCCAAAUUUGCCCGACCCAAAUUAGAAAUAAAUAAACAAAAAUAAACCAAAUAAAAUAAACCCAAAAUCUUAAAAUGUCCACAGUCCAUUACAGCAGGCCUAAUGGCCCAAAUUCACUGUCCAAAAAAAAAAACAGCUUUAACCCAAACCCAACUAGCCUAAACCCAAAACCAAGCC
RNAcentral lists this long non-coding RNA (242 nucleotides) under Gossypium raimondii (Peruvian cotton). RNAcentral describes it as "long non-coding RNA (GRAI_LNC000571)". Lineage: Eukaryota; Viridiplantae; Streptophyta; Magnoliopsida; Malvales; Malvaceae. The record is from RNAcentral.